AUGGCAGCACAGAACGGUCUUGGCGGUCAACGACGGGAGGUGGCGGCGAAGCAGCAGCAAUGUGCAGGCACUGGCAGCGGCAUCCGCGAGCAGAGGCACAACGCUGGUCGUGGGCACCGGCAGCGAAACAUGACGACGAAGCAGCAAAUGCAGCGAGGCAGCGGUGCGGUGGUGAGCUCGCAGGACGAGGACGACGACGAGCUUGGCGCAUCCGGAGGUAGGGACGAGGCCCUGCCGGCAGGCAGGAGGCUCAGAGGAGGGAUGCGAGGUCGAGGAGGAGGCCUCGGGCAUGGAACGCGGGCAACUGCUCGCUGGUCUUGGCACGGGCGCCAUGGCCAUGGCCGUGGUCGGUGGAGGAAGGCAAGGCGGCAUGGCGGCCAAGGGGCAGCGCUUGGUGGCGUUCGAGGGAGGAGCUGGCGCUGGGGGGUUGCGUGGGAUCGGGAGGAAGGGGUCGAGGGGGCUCGCGACAUAAGAGUAGGACGAGGGGAUCGGGAUCGAGCCAAGGCCCCUGGCGGCGCUGAGGAAAAAUGA
This 531-nucleotide ribosomal RNA is filed under the name Triticum aestivum (bread wheat). RNAcentral's name for it is "partial small subunit ribosomal RNA". Lineage: Eukaryota; Viridiplantae; Streptophyta; Magnoliopsida; Poales; Poaceae. The record is from RNAcentral.